AAUACUUUGAAGCUGUUUCAAUAGCAGCUCAACUACGCCUUUACAAUUUAUAGGGGUUAGAUUAUUGAGCUGAUGCCUAAUGGCAGCUGACGGCACACAACUUUGUUUUAAAAUGAAUGGAUGGGAGGGGGUGGGGGUGGGGGUAGGCAGUUCAAGAGUUGUAUGAAGAACAUUUUGUAGUACCAUUCCACCUUUAAGAGAAAUGUUGUUGGUCUUAUUGGUUCUCUGAAAUUAAUACCUUCCUGUUUGUUCUUUCUUUUUUUAU
RNAcentral lists this long non-coding RNA (265 nucleotides) under Nicotiana benthamiana. RNAcentral's name for it is "long non-coding RNA (NBEN_LNC001851)". The record is from RNAcentral. Lineage: Eukaryota; Viridiplantae; Streptophyta; Magnoliopsida; Solanales; Solanaceae.